GACCAGACUCCUACGGGAGGCAGCAGUGAGGAAUAUUGGUCAAUGGGCGAGAGCCUGAACCAGCCAAGUCGCGUGAGGGAGUACUGCCCUAUGGGUUGUAAACCUCUUUUGUCGGGGAGCAAAAGCCGGACGUGUCCGGCUGUGAGAGUACCCGAAGAAAAAGCAUCGGCUAACUCCGUGCCAGCAGCCGCGGUAAUACGGAGGAUGCGAGCGUUAUCCGGAUUUAUUGGGUUUAAAGGGUGCGUAGGCGGUCCGUUAAGUCAGGGGUAAAAUUGCGGGGCUCAACCCCGUCGAGCCGUUGAAACUGGCAGACUUGAGUUGGCGAGAAGUACGCGGAAUGCGCGGUGUAGCGGUGAAAUGCAUAGAUAUCGCGCAGAACUCCGAUUGCGAAGGCAGCGUAUCGGCGCCAGACUGACGCUGAGGCACGAAAGCGUGGGGAUCGAACAGGAUUAGAUACCCGAGUAU
This 465-nucleotide ribosomal RNA is filed under the name uncultured bacterium. Its description in RNAcentral is "partial 16S ribosomal RNA". It matches the Rfam family "Bacterial small subunit ribosomal RNA", at positions 329 to 793 of the family's 1533-position model. The record is from RNAcentral.